AGCUCAGUCAGUAGAGCAUGAGACUCUUAAUCUCAAGGUUGUGGGUUCAACCCUUGUCCAC
This 61-nucleotide transfer RNA is filed under the name Podarcis lilfordi (Lilford's wall lizard). RNAcentral describes it as "tRNA.Lys". It matches the Rfam family "tRNA", at positions 9 to 63 of the family's 71-position model. Rfam says of the family: Transfer RNA (tRNA) molecules are approximately 80 nucleotides in length. Their secondary structure includes four short double-helical elements and three loops (D, anti-codon, and T loops). Lineage: Eukaryota; Metazoa; Chordata; Lepidosauria; Squamata; Lacertidae. The record is from RNAcentral.